Long non-coding RNA from Astatotilapia calliptera (eastern happy), 1763 nucleotides. NCBI's taxonomy places the organism in Eukaryota, Metazoa, Chordata, Actinopteri, Cichliformes, Cichlidae. The record is from Ensembl.
AAAUUAUGCAGCAAGAAAGGCUCAGCAGUAGCUGUAGUGACCCUCAUAUACAUAUCUUGAGGUUUUAUUCACCCAAGAGAUACAUAGUAAAAGGUUUUCUUGUUUCCAGACUGGAAUUUUUGUGUGUGGUUAUAUUAGAAACUUUGUAGGACUAGACAAAAUAUUAACCGUGUUUACAGUGAUCACCCCACAUUAGAAAAUAAUUUAUGUGAUAACUGUCGAGCGAUUAAAGUUGCCCUAAAGCAUGACUGAAAACUUCUCCCUGUCAUGGGAUGAAAAGUGAUGGAGCACAUGAAGCCACACUCUGCGAUUCACCCCUCAUCACUCCUGCAUUCGUCCAUGUUAAUUAGCUUUGCUUGUUUUGGAGUUCAUCAAUAUUUUAGCACCCCAAUUCAUAAUUCAAACAGGAACCUGAAAAAUCAACCGAGUUGUUAUUUCGCUACGAUUUCCGCUUCGGCUGGGGAUGUGGAAACGCUGUAGCCGUCAGUGUCUGGUAACCAGGAUUUGAGGGAGAAUAUGUGAAAUGACGAUACUGUAAUCAGUUAUGACAUGCUGCGUGGUGUUGCAUUUUGGGCCACAGGCAAGACUUUUUUUUUUUUUUGCUCUCAUGAGGAGAGUGUGCAACGCUUCAGUCGGUCACCUCCACAACCGAUUUCCUACAUCAAAUGCUUGUAUGUUAACUUCAUGCAGCAGGUCGGAUGAAUGUCAGCAGCCCGCUGCUCUUGAGUAUCUGUUUCAAAUAAACAGUGUUUUCUCCCCCGGGUCUGUGAGUACAUGUGACUGUGUGAAAAUGUGUCUGUGUUCUGGCCUCGUACUACAGCCUGCAGAUGUUGUAGGUGUGAACUUGACUUUUCCUUGUAGCAGGAGGUGUGAACCGCUGGGGAAAUGUUAUUCUGGCUGACUCACAAACUGCAGGAAUCUUUCUGAGAAAUCGUUUACCUGUGGAUUUAGUUCAAAAAUCUGUGUAUUCUUCCAACUUAAAAAACAAACCAUCAAUUGGUUUCAGAAUAAAUCGAUUUUAAAAAAAUCUCCUGUUCUGAACCACGAGAUGUAAUCUUGCUCCUUGUGGAAUGGUCAUUAGCCUUACAGGGAGACGGUGCUAUUUUUUUAUUUAGAAAAACAUUAAACAAGUACAAAAAAUCCAGCCUGUUGGCAGUUUGUUUUGUUUUCUCUUUGAAGACAAUGUAUUGUGUGUGUUUGACCAGACGAUUUCUAAAAGAAGAGUGAGUCUUUGAAUUCCCGCAUGAAGCAGGAUAAAGUGAGAGAACUGCCCCCAGACGUUUGCUUUUAAACCAUAAAAUGCUCAGUGGCGUAAUCUGAAGCAUGUGAGAGAUGCUGCCUCACUGAAUAAAAAUAAAAAAAAAUGUUGAAACCUUAAAGCGACACACUAAAUAAGGAGUUUUGAGAGCAGGCAGAGGAAAUGUGAGGUCAGUAUUAGAACAGCUGAUCCACGGGUCCACGGCAGGUCACUGAGAUGCAGAGGAAUGAUGGUCACACAGAUGGGUGCAUUGAAGAGUUGUAGCCAAAGAAAAGUGAUGUACACAUCACUUCUCAAAGCCCAGACAUUAUUAUUCUGUUCUCAUUCUGCUUUUCCUCAUACAGUAAUAUCCUCAUAUACAAAAUCUUCCUAAAAAUGCUUAAUGUAAUUUAUGACUUUAAAUACAGCCUAAGAUUGUGUAAUAAGGCCAGAAACCCGAGACCACAGAGAAGAAAGAAAAGACAAACUGCCUCAUUUACCCACAGAGCUUAGCCACACAUUUUUC